UGCCUAACACAUGCAAGUCGAACGAGAUUCUUCUGAUUGGUUUACUAAGAAGUUGAAUCUAGUGGCGGACGGGUGAGUAACGCGUGGGCAAUCUGCCCUGUGGAAAGGGAUAGCCUCGGGAAACCGGGAUUAAUACCUUAUGAUAUUAUUGUUACGCAUGUAACAAUAAUCAAAGAUUUAUCGCCACAGGAUGAGCCCGCGUCCCAUUAGCUAGUUGGUGAGAUAAUAGCCCACCAAGGCGACGAUGGGUAGCCGACCUGAGAGGGUGAACGGCCACACUGGGACUGAGACACGGCCCAGACUCCUACGGGAGGCAGCAGUGGGGAAUAUUGCGCAAUGGGGGCAACCCUGACGCAGCAACGCCGCGUGAGUGAAGAAGGUUUUUGGAUCGUAAAACUCUGUCUUUGGGGAAGAAUAAAUGACGGUACCCAAGGAGGAAGCCCCGGCUAACUACGUGCCA
Molecule: ribosomal RNA, 460 nt
Filed under: uncultured bacterium
Lineage: Bacteria
Description: bacterial SSU rRNA
Rfam family: Bacterial small subunit ribosomal RNA
Source: RNAcentral